AUUGAACGCUGGCGGCAGGCCUAACACAUGCAAGUCGAGCGGAUGAAGGGAGCUUGCUCCUGGAUUCAGCGGCGGACGGGUGAGUAAUGCCUAGGAAUCUGCCUGGUAGUGGGGGAUAACGUCCGGAAACGGGCGCUAAUACCGCAUACGUCCUGAGGGAGAAAGUGGGGGAUCUUCGGACCUCACGCUAUCAGAUGAGCCUAGGUCGGAUUAGCUAGUUGGUGGGGUAAAGGCCUACCAAGGCGACGCUCCGUAACUGGUCUGAGAGGAUGAUCAGUCACACUGGAACUGAGACACGGUCCAGACUCCUACGGGAGGCAGCAGUGGGGAAUAUUGGACAAUGGGCGAAAGCCUGAUCCAGCCAUGCCGCGUGUGUGAAGAAGGUCUUCGGAUUGUAAAGCACUUUAAGUUGGGAGGAAGGGCAGUAAGUUAAUACCUUGCUGUUUUGACGUUACCAACAGAAUAAGCACCGGCUAACUUCGUG
RNAcentral lists this ribosomal RNA (484 nucleotides) under uncultured bacterium. RNAcentral's name for it is "partial 16S ribosomal RNA". It matches the Rfam family "Bacterial small subunit ribosomal RNA", at positions 30 to 507 of the family's 1533-position model. The record is from RNAcentral.